CCGCAAGGCAGUGGAGGUUUGAGAUCUGAGUUUUCUUUCUCCUGGAUGGAGUGACAAUGUUUGGCUAUAUUCAUGGGUAUUCAUGUAUUCAUGAAAGACAAUUAAACGUGAACGAUCACCUGUGUUGCAGCUCAGCAGCCUGCUAAAGAGAAAGACUUGGCAUAUGAAUCUUCAGAUUUACACCAGUUAGUCCUGACGAAGGGUCUCGGCCUGAAACGUCGACUGUACCUCUUCCUAGAAAUGCUGCCUGGCCUGCUGCGUUCACCAGCAACUUUGAUGUGUGUUGCAGGUACCAUAACCGAUGUGGACUUUGGUGACCAUGGUUUUCCAUAUCCUUCGUUUUUUGGAUGACUUCCACUUCCUCGAUGAGUAGCCACCUGGCUAUGCUUUUGAUGUACAUAAGCCGAGGCCUUCCUCUA
Mobula hypostoma (lesser devil ray) is the source of this 419-nucleotide long non-coding RNA. RefSeq lists it as uncharacterized. The record is from RefSeq and is a predicted model, not a curated record. The transcript is spliced from 3 exons. Lineage: Eukaryota; Metazoa; Chordata; Chondrichthyes; Myliobatiformes; Myliobatidae.